GUAGCCGGGAAGGGUGGGGAUGCGCCUCGCGAAGGGAGGAGUCUAGAACCUGCGCCUGAGCAGCGUGGUUCCCGACUCUGAGCGCACGAGCCCGACAUGCAGAGGACAGUUCAAAGAUGACGAAGAUAACUUACUUCCUGUCUUUCAGGAGCUCACAAUCUAGCAAUGGGGACAGAUAUCGAGUCCUAAUUUGGUGCUUUCUUUUUUCACUGGACCAUACCACCUCUCUUGGACCAUUUAAGAUAUCACACUUAACAGCUGUGUCACUAAGAAGCUGAAUCUGGAAAAACAACCACAAAGCAAAUAUUGGAAGAUGAAAAAUCUGUUUUGACUCAAGAAGCCAUCAUCACUGUGAAAGGGGUCAGUCUCAGCAGAAACCUCGAAGCACUGAUGGCAAACUCGCUAUCUUCAAAGUGAUAAAGGCCCAGAAGCAAUGGAAUGGGUAACACACAAAUUAAAUGCUGAGAUUCAAGAAUGGACUGUCUUGGCAAGAGGAAGUAUCAGGACUCUGAUGGGGCAGCAGCAUUUGUACAGAAGUUGGUAUACAACAUCCUUAUCCCCAGGUCUUUUCAAGCUGGCAGUAUAUUUGUUAUUUAAAAAGACA
Long non-coding RNA from Talpa occidentalis (Iberian mole), 604 nucleotides. RefSeq lists it as uncharacterized. The record is from RefSeq and is a predicted model, not a curated record. NCBI's taxonomy places the organism in Eukaryota, Metazoa, Chordata, Mammalia, Eulipotyphla, Talpidae. The transcript has 4 exons.